This 465-nucleotide ribosomal RNA is filed under the name Vreelandella stevensii. RNAcentral describes it as "partial 16S ribosomal RNA". It matches the Rfam family "Bacterial small subunit ribosomal RNA", at positions 338 to 795 of the family's 1533-position model. Lineage: Bacteria; Pseudomonadati; Pseudomonadota; Gammaproteobacteria; Oceanospirillales; Halomonadaceae. The record is from RNAcentral.
CCUACGGGGGGCAGCAGUGGGGAAUAUUGGACAAUGGGGGCAACCCUGAUCCAGCCAUGCCGCGUGUGUGAAGAAGGCCCUCGGGUUGUAAUGCACUUUCAGUGAGGAAGAACGCCUGGUGGUUAAUACCCAUCAGGAAAGACAUCACUCACAGAAGAAGCACCGGCUAACUCCGUGCCAGCAGCCGCGGUAAUACGGAGGGUGCGAGCGUUAAUCGGAAUUACUGGGCGUAAAGCGCGCGUAGGUGGCUUGAUAAGCCGGUUGUGAAAGCCCCGGGCUCAACCUGGGAACGGCAUCCGGAACUGUCAAGCUAGAGUGCAGGAGAGGAAGGUAGAAUUCCCGGUGUAGCGGUGAAAUGCGUAGAGAUCGGGAGGAAUACCAGUGGCGAAGGCGGCCUUCUGGACUGACACUGACACUGAGGUGCGAAAGCGUGGGUAGCAAACAGGAUUAGAUACCCUAGUAGUC